UAACAACAUUAUUAUAGAUGGAACUAUGUACAUGUGAGGGCAAGAGAACAGCCUUGUUAUCAGACAAAAUGUCAUCAGUACAAGAAGCAGACACAGAACAUGCAGAAGUAGAUGAACAACUAAUAGAGGAAGAAGGGGAAGAUAUCAUCAUUACAAGAAGCAGACAGAACAAACAGAAGUAGAGGAACAACUAAUAGAGGAAGAAGGGGAAGGAGGAACCCAAGCCAGUUUAUAUAAGCCAACAACUUCUCUACCAAGAUCCAGAGGCCUCCUCAGAGAAGGGUCCUGUAUCAUGUGGAGUAAGCAGGAAUUUCAGUGAAAAAAACUACACAAUGCAACUGGUUCACUAACUUGUGGACAGAAAUCGAGUUGUGUUUAAAGGAAG
This 385-nucleotide long non-coding RNA is filed under the name Nicotiana benthamiana. Its description in RNAcentral is "long non-coding RNA (NBEN_LNC030659)". Lineage: Eukaryota; Viridiplantae; Streptophyta; Magnoliopsida; Solanales; Solanaceae. The record is from RNAcentral.